GCGGAGGCCCCAGCGCCCGAGUGUGAUGUAGACCUCAGCCCAAACACUGAGAGAACAAGACCAAAAAGCAGAACUUGAAGCCGCGCGCGCAAGUGAGAAAACCUACGCCAGACCAAUUUCCUAGACCGAUUUGGAUAUAAUUUUUCAUUGAAGGAAAGAGUGCGAGGCUGUCAUCUGUUUUUUAUCAUUAUUAUUUUUCAUUAGUUAUAUAUACAUAGAUAUAUUAUUGUUAUUAUCAAUCAUUAUUUUCUGGAAGUGAAUAAUGACCACAAGGUGUGGAACAGUGCCAGGAAAAUAGCGGAAGGAAGAUUCGAAAAAGAGUAGUUUGGCGGAGAACAAGUUAAUGUGAUGUGUGUGUGCUACAGUGCUUAUUUUACUUCCUCUGCGUUUCAUACAUCGAGUGACUGCCGCGUGUGUCAACCGUGACGUCACCCACUAAACAUGAUUGACGGCAAGACCCCGCCCUCACUCAGUCCGACUGUACCUACAAUGGGAUUUCACUGAUAUCUUACAGGAGGUCCGGACGGCAGUGACGUAGGAGUGGCCAGCGGCGGCAGCAACAGUGGCGGAGGCAGCGCGGGCGGCGGUGCAACAGCCGUGGGCGUUGCCAAGAUGUCGGCCGUUGCAAGAAAUACAGCCUCCUCCAUGCCCUCCAGUGGGGACACUCCCUCCAGGAAACCUGUGCGCCUGUGCCAGGUCAGUUGCGCGGCUUUGAGGUCAAAUCCAGUUGGGUUAUUCGGACGACGGGCUGACCUCGAGAGGAAGCCUCUUGGUGUCCCAUGUUAGGUCGGGUUGGGUCGAGCUGGGUCGGGUCGUGGUUCUCGCGAAGAUCGCAUCGUUUUUUUGUCUUGUGUCGAAUCUCUGAGGUCAGUCUUGAUAACUGGUUAUUUUUAGUGUCUUAAAAGGUCAGUGGUAGGUUUGUAAGGUCACAGGAAGACUUGCCUCCUUUCUGAGUGAUGAGACGAAAUAUCGCAGAUUCAGUCCUGUAAAAUGAAUAAAUACCUUUAUGCCUAACAGAAACAUGAGCGAGUAAUGCUAUUGUUCUACAAAGUCUUAAAUUACAUAUGUGUUUUCCUCGUUCCCUUUUUGAUCAUAUCUAAGUAGUAUUGUUAUCAAGCCAGCCACACUGUACUUCGAUUGUCAAUCUUGUAGUAUUGAUAAGUGUGUGUUUCUGGUGACAGUGGCAGGUGUAUUUAUCGAGUGGGGUUGGCAGGUGAUAUUUGU
Non-coding RNA from Penaeus vannamei (Pacific white shrimp), 1224 nucleotides. NCBI's taxonomy places the organism in Eukaryota, Metazoa, Arthropoda, Malacostraca, Decapoda, Penaeidae. The record is from RefSeq and is a predicted model, not a curated record.